RNAcentral lists this ribosomal RNA (257 nucleotides) under Turritella anactor. RNAcentral describes it as "partial 16S ribosomal RNA". Lineage: Eukaryota; Metazoa; Mollusca; Gastropoda; Turritellidae. The record is from RNAcentral.
AGACUUCUGCAUCUUUAGGAUAUNCUAGUCCAACAUCGAGGUCACAACCCCCCCUUUCGAUAAGGUCUCUCAAGGGAGAUUAUGCUGUUAUCCCUGCGGUAACUAAUUUUUUUAAUCGGCUUUGGGCAUCAAGACUCAUUAGUAUUUUAAAAUAUAGGAAGCUUUUUUUGUUCCUCGGUCGCCCCAACCAAAAAUACUGAUAGCUGUAAAUUUAUUAAAAUAUAAGUAGUUCUAUUUAUUUUUUAAGCUCGACAGGG